UACGUAGGGCGCAAGCGUUGUCCGGAAUCACUGGGCGUAAAGGGCGCGUAGGCGGUCGUGACAAGUCACUUGUGAAAUCUCCGGGCUUAACUCGGAACGGUCAAGUGAUACUGUCGGACUAGAGUACAGAAGGGGCAACUGGAAUUCUCGGUGUAGCGGUGAAAUGCGUAGAUAUCGAGAGGAACACCAGUGGCGAAGGCGACUACCUGGCCUGUUCUUGACGCUGAGGCGCGAAAGCUAGGGGAGCAAACGGG
Molecule: ribosomal RNA, 254 nt
Filed under: uncultured bacterium
Lineage: Bacteria
Description: partial 16S ribosomal RNA
Rfam family: Bacterial small subunit ribosomal RNA
Source: RNAcentral